This 253-nucleotide ribosomal RNA is filed under the name uncultured bacterium. RNAcentral's name for it is "partial 16S ribosomal RNA". It matches the Rfam family "Bacterial small subunit ribosomal RNA", at positions 524 to 776 of the family's 1533-position model. The record is from RNAcentral.
UACGGAGGGUGCAAACGUUGCUCGGAAUUACUGGGCGUAAAGCGCACGUAGGCGGCUUGUUAAGUCGGGGGUGAAAUCCUGGAGCUCAACUCCAGAACUGCCUUCGAUACUGGCGAGCUCGAGUUCGGGAGAGGUGAGUGGAACUGCGAGUGUAGAGGUGAAAUUCGUAGAUAUUCGCAAGAACACCAGUGGCGAAGGCGGCUCACUGGCCCGAUACUGACGCUGAGGUGCGAAAGCGUGGGGAGCAAACAGG